GAUGAACGCUAGCGGCAGGCCUAACACAUGCAAGUCGAGGGGCAGCACAGAAACAGCAAUGUUUUGGUGGCGACCGGCGGACGGGUGCGUAACGCGUAUGCAACCUACCUUUGACAGGGGGAUAACGGAGAGAAAUUUCCACUAAUACCCCAUAACAUCGAUCAAGGCAUCUUGAUUGGUUGAAAACUCCGGUGGUUAAAGAUGGGCAUGCGUUGUAUUAGGUGGUCGGUGAGGUAAUGGCUCACCAAGCCUACGAUACAUAGGGGGACUGAGAGGUUAGCCCCCCACACUGGUACUGAGACACGGACCAGACUCCUACGGGAGGCAGCAGUGAGGAAUAUUGGUCAAUGGGGGCAACCCUGAACCAGCCAUGCCGCGUGCAGGAAGACGGCUCUAUGAGUUGUAAACUGCUUUUAAACAGGGAUAAAGCACAGUAUGUAUACUGUGUUGAAGGUACUGUAAGAAUAAGGAUCGGCUAACUCCGUGCCAGCCGCCGCAGUAA
RNAcentral lists this ribosomal RNA (502 nucleotides) under uncultured bacterium. Its description in RNAcentral is "partial 16S ribosomal RNA". It matches the Rfam family "Bacterial small subunit ribosomal RNA", at positions 28 to 523 of the family's 1533-position model. The record is from RNAcentral.